This 1343-nucleotide ribosomal RNA is filed under the name uncultured bacterium. RNAcentral describes it as "16S ribosomal RNA". It matches the Rfam family "Bacterial small subunit ribosomal RNA", at positions 28 to 1378 of the family's 1533-position model. The record is from RNAcentral.
GACGAACGCUGGCGGCGUGCUUAACACAUGCAAGUCGAACGGAAAGGCCCUGCUUUUGUGGGGUGCUCGAGUGGCGAACGGGUGAGUAACACGUGAGUAACCUGCCCUUGACUUUGGGAUAACUUCGGGAAACUGGGGCUAAUACCGGAUAGGAGCUCCUGCUGCAUGGUGGGGGUUGGAAAGUUUCGGCGGUUGGGGAUGGACUCGCGGCUUAUCAGCUUGUUGGUGGGGUAGUGGCUUACCAAGGCUUUGACGGGUAGCCGGCCUGAGAGGGUGACCGGCCACAUUGGGACUGAGAUACGGCCCAGACUCCUACGGGAGGCAGCAGUGGGGAAUAUUGCACAAUGGGCGGAAGCCUGAUGCAGCAACGCCGCGUGCGGGAUGACGGCCUUCGAGUUGUAAACCGCUUUCGCCUGUGACGAAGCGUGAGUGACGGUAAUGGGUAAAGAAGCACCGGCUAACUACGUGCCAGCAGCCGCGGUGAUACGUAGGGUGCGAGCGUUGUCCGGAUUUAUUGGGCGUAAAGGGCUCGUAGGUGGUUGAUCGCGUCGGAAGUGUAAUCUUGGGGCUUAACCCUGAGCGUGCUUUCGAUACGGGUUGACUUGAGGAAGGUAGGGGAGAAUGGAAUUCCUGGUGGAGCGGUGGAAUGCGCAGAUAUCAGGAGGAACACCAGUGGCGAAGGCGGUUCUCUGGGCCUUUCCUGACGCUGAGGAGCGAAAGCGUGGGGAGCGAACAGGCUUAGAUACCCUGGUAGUCCACGCUGUAAACGGUGGGUACUAGGUGUGGGGUCCAUUCCACGGGUUCCGUGCCGUAGCUAACGCUUUAAGUACCCCGCCUGGGGAGUACGGCCGCAAGGCUAAAACUCAAAGGAAUUGACGGGGCCCCGCACAAGCGGCGGAGCAUGCGGAUUAAUUCGAUGCAACGCGUAGAACCUUACCUGGGUUUGACAUGGAUCGGGAGCGCUCAGAGAUGGGUGUGCCUCUUUUGGGGUCGGUUCACAGGUGGUGCAUGGCUGUCGUCAGCUCGUGUCGUGAGAUGUUGGGUUAAGUCCCGCAACGAGCGCAACCCUUGUUCACUGUUGCCAGCACGUUAUGGUGGGGACUCAGUGGAGACCGCCGGGGUCGACUCGGAGGAAGGUGGGGAUGACGUCAAGUCAUCAUGCCCCUUAUGUCCAGGGCUUCACGCAUGCUACAAUGGCUGGUACAGAGAGUGGCGAGCCUGUGAGGGUGAGCGAAUCUCGGAAAGCCGGUCUCAGUUCGGAUUGGGGUCUGCAACUCGACCUCAUGAAGUCGGAGUCGCUAGUAAUCGCAGAUCAGCAACGCUGCGGUGAAUACGUUCCCGGG